Long non-coding RNA from Balaenoptera acutorostrata (minke whale), 592 nucleotides. RefSeq lists it as uncharacterized. The record is from RefSeq and is a predicted model, not a curated record. Lineage: Eukaryota; Metazoa; Chordata; Mammalia; Artiodactyla; Balaenopteridae. The transcript has 4 exons.
UGUGAGGAGUGAACGCUGCAAUAAUCCCUGCAAAGCCCCUGGAAGACUGUCUGGCACAGCCCAAAGAAAAGGAUUCAAACUCAUGGCCAGAAGGCUGGAUAAGACCUACAGGCACAUUUUAUUUAGCCUUCAGAAUGUUUACUAAGAUUGCUUCCUAUGUGAUGGAUGGGCCUCAUCUAGUCAGUUGAAGGACAAAAAAAUAGAAGAAAAAGCCCAGCCCCCCUGGGCAAGAGAUAAUUCCCCAGCAGACUGCCUUCACCCUGGAACUGCAAUAUCAACUCUCCCGGGUCCCUAGUCAACUGGCACAGCCUAGAGAUCUUGGACUUGCCAGCCUCCAUAAUCACAGAGGGAUUGGGAGAGAGGAGUUACCCUCUCUCUUGCAGAGAGACUUGGUCAGGCUUUGUGGUGAGGAAAGAAGAGGAACUGGUCCCAGCCUCGUGAAGGAGUCACGCUUCCUGGCUGUAUGUUCUCGGGCAAGUUGCUUCACCUCACUGUGCCUCAGUUUUCUCAUCUCUUAAAUAAGGAUAAUAAUGUUACCUACUUUAUAGGGUUGUUGGGAGGAUUCAUGAGUUAAUCCAUGUCAAGUUUUCAG